RNAcentral lists this ribosomal RNA (253 nucleotides) under uncultured bacterium. RNAcentral's name for it is "partial 16S ribosomal RNA". It matches the Rfam family "Bacterial small subunit ribosomal RNA", at positions 29 to 292 of the family's 1533-position model. The record is from RNAcentral.
GCGAACGCUGGCGGCGUGCCUAAAACAUGCAAGUCGAACGGUGUAAGCAAUUACACAGUGGCGAACGGCGGAGUAAUACAUAAGCAACGUGCCCCGAAGACUGGGAUAGCCAGCCGAAGGCUGAGUAAUCCGGAUGUGGCCCUCUUUUGGCAUCUUAAGAGGAUUAAAUGGUUUUCGCUUCGGGUAGCGGCUUAUGGCCUAUCAGGUAGUUGGUGAGGUAACGGCUCACCAAGCCGACGACGGGUAGCGGGGU